CCUACGGGGGGCAGCAGUGGGGAAUAUUGGACAAUGGGGGGAACCCUGAUCCAGCCAUGCCGCGUGUGUGAAGAAGGCCCUCGGGUUGUAAAGCACUUUCAGUGAGGAAGAACGCCUGGUGGUUAAUACCCAUCAGGAAAGACAUCACUCACAGAAGAAGCACCGGCUAACUCCGUGCCAGCAGCCGCGGUAAUACGGAGGGUGCGAGCGUUAAUCGGAAUUACUGGGCGUAAAGCGCGCGUAGGUGGCUUGAUAAGCCGGUUGUGAAAGCCCCGGGCUCAACCUGGGAACGGCAUCCGGAACUGUCAAGCUGGAGUGCAGGAGAGGAAGGUAGAAUUCCCGGUGUAGCGGUGAAAUGCGUAGAGAUCGGGAGGAACACCAGUGGCGAAGGCGGCCUUCUGGACUGACACUGACACUGAGGUGCGAAAGCGUGGGUAGCAAACAGGAUUAGAUACCCCAGUAGUC
Molecule: ribosomal RNA, 465 nt
Filed under: Vreelandella stevensii
Lineage: Bacteria; Pseudomonadati; Pseudomonadota; Gammaproteobacteria; Oceanospirillales; Halomonadaceae
Description: partial 16S ribosomal RNA
Rfam family: Bacterial small subunit ribosomal RNA
Source: RNAcentral